CUACGGGGGGCUGCAGUAGGGAAUCUUCGGCAAUGGACGGAAGUCUGACCGAGCAACGCCGCGUGAGUGAAGAAGGUUUUCGGAUCGUAAAGCUCUGUUGUAAGAGAAGAACGAGUGUGAGAGUGGAAAGUUCACACUGUGACGGUAUCUUACCAGAAAGGGACGGCUAACUACGUGCCAGCAGCCGCGGUAAUACGUAGGUCCCGAGCGUUGUCCGGAUUUAUUGGGCGUAAAGCGAGCGCAGGCGGUUAGAUAAGUCUGAAGUUAAAGGCUGUGGCGUAAACAUAGUACGCUUUGGAAACUGUUUAACUUGAGUGCAGAAGGGGAGAGUGGAAUUCCAUGUGUAGCGGUGAAAUGCGUAGAUAUAUGGAGGAACACCGGUGGCGAAAGCGGCUCUCUGGUCUGUAACUGACGCUGAGGCUCGAAAGCGUGGGGAGCAAACAGGAUUAGAUACCCCCGUAGUC
This 464-nucleotide ribosomal RNA is filed under the name uncultured bacterium. RNAcentral's name for it is "partial 16S ribosomal RNA". It matches the Rfam family "Bacterial small subunit ribosomal RNA", at positions 339 to 795 of the family's 1533-position model. The record is from RNAcentral.